GUUGGGUAGUGAGCGGUGAGAACAAUAGACUGGGCUACGUACGUAGAGCUUGUAGCGUAGGACUUAUGGACGGGGGUUCGAUUCCCCCCGGCUCCACCA
This 99-nucleotide transfer-messenger RNA is filed under the name Pseudomonadota bacterium. RNAcentral's name for it is "partial transfer-messenger RNA". It matches the Rfam family "transfer-messenger RNA", at positions 273 to 374 of the family's 374-position model. From Rfam's summary of the family: Bacterial tmRNA, also known as 10Sa RNA or SsrA, is named for its dual tRNA and mRNA-like properties. Its role is to liberate the mRNA from a stalled ribosome. To accomplish this part of the tmRNA is used as a reading frame that ends in a translation stop signal. Lineage: Bacteria; Pseudomonadati; Pseudomonadota. The record is from RNAcentral.